This 476-nucleotide ribosomal RNA is filed under the name uncultured bacterium. RNAcentral describes it as "bacterial SSU rRNA". It matches the Rfam family "Bacterial small subunit ribosomal RNA", at positions 24 to 518 of the family's 1533-position model. The record is from RNAcentral.
UCAGGAUGAACGCUGGCGGCGUGCCUAACACAUGCAAGUCGAACGGAGUAAGUUCUUCGGAGGUUACUAGUGGCGGACGGGUGAGUAACGCGUGGGUAAUCUGCCUUACACAGGGGGACAACAGUUGGAAACGACUGCUAAUACCGCAUAAGCCGGUAGCGCCGCAUGGCGCAUCCGGAAAAGAUUCAUCGGUGUAAGAUGAGCCCGCGUCUGAUUAGUUAGUUGGCGGGGUAACGGCCCACCAAGACGACGAUCAGUAGCCGACCUGAGAGGGUGAUCGGCCACAUUGGGACUGAGACACGGCCCAAACUCCUACGGGAGGCAGCAGUGGGGAAUAUUGCGCAAUGGGGGGAACCCUGAACCGCAGCAACGCCGCGUGAGUGAAGAAGUAUUUCGGUAUGUAAAGCUCUAUCAGCAGGGAAGAAAACGACGGUACCUGCAGAAGAAGUCCCGGCUAACUACGUGCCAGCAGCCGC